This is an RNA transcript of Lagenorhynchus albirostris (white-beaked dolphin), 2677 nucleotides long. It is a transcript of the gene named TATA-box binding protein associated factor 6 like, with no coding region annotated. The record is from RefSeq and is a predicted model, not a curated record. The transcript has 16 exons. NCBI's taxonomy places the organism in Eukaryota, Metazoa, Chordata, Mammalia, Artiodactyla, Delphinidae.
GGAGCCUGAGCGCCGAGAGAGGGAAUUAGUGCGAGCUGAGUGAGUGGGCGCCAGCGCCGCCGCCACCACCGUCACCGUCACAGCUACCGCCGUCCCGGUAACCGCCUUCGCCGUGCCGGAGCCCUCAGCAAGUGUUUAUUGAGGGCGUGUUAUGUGCAGACGCAGUGCCUGACGCGGGGGAUGCAAAGUUCCAUCGGGGCCAUGUCGGAGCGAGAAGAGCGGCGGUUCGUGGAGAUCCCUCGGGAGUCCGUCCGGCUCAUGGCAGAGAGCACAGGCCUGGAGCUGAGUGAUGAGGUGACGGCCCUGCUCGCAGAGGACGUGUGCUACCGUCUCAGAGAGGCCACCCAGAAUAGCUCUCAAUUCAUGAAACAUACCAAACGGCGGAAGCUGACUGUCGAGGAUUUCAACAGGGCCCUCAGAUGGAGCAGUGUGGAGGCUGUGUGUGGUUAUGGGUCCCAGGAGGCGCUGCCCCUGCGCCCUGCCAGGGAGGGUGAGCUCUACUUCCCCGAGGACCGAGAGGUGAACCUGGUGGAGCUGGCCCUGGCCACCAACAUCCCCAAAGGCUGCGCCGAGACAGCUGUGAGAGUUCAUGUCUCCUACCUAGAUGGCAAAGGGAACCUGGCCCCUCAAGGAUCGGUGCCCAGUGCUGUGUCUUCACUGACUGAUGACCUUCUCAAGUACUACCAGCAAGUGACUCGGGCUGUGCUGGGGGAUGAUCCACAGCUGAUGAAGGUUGCCCUCCAGGACUUGCAGACCAACUCGAAGAUCGCAGCGCUCCUGCCGUACUUUGUUUAUGUGGUCAGUGGGGUGAAAUCUGUAAGCCACGACCUGGAGCAGCUACACCGGCUCUUGCAGGUGGCACGGAGCCUAGUUCGGAACCCACACCUCUGCCUGGGGCCCUAUGUCCGCUCCCUGGUAGGCAGUGUCCUCUACUGUGUCCUGGAGCCCCUGGCUGCCUCCAUCAACCCGCUGAAUGACCACUGGACCCUGCGGGAUGGAGCUGCCCUCCUGCUCAGUCACAUCUUCUGGACUCAUGGGGACCUUGUAAGUGGCCUCUAUCAGCAGAUCCUGCUCUCCCUGCAGAAGGUCUUGGCAGAUCCUGUGAGGCCUCUCUGCUCUCACUACGGGGCUGUGGUGGGGCUGCACGCCCUUGGCUGGAAGGCAGUAGAGCGAGUCCUGUACCCACACCUGUCCACUUACUGGACAAAUUUGCAGGCUGUGCUAGAUGAUUAUUCAGUAUCGAAUGCCCAGGUUAAAGCAGAUGGGCACAAAGUCUAUGGAGCCAUUCUGGUGGCCGUAGAACGACUGCUGAAGAUGAAGGCCCAGGCAGCAGAGCCCAACAAGGGUGGGCCAGGCAGCAGGGGCUGCCGGCGCUCAGACGACCUGCCUUGGGACAGUCUUCUCCUGCAGGAGUCUCCCUCCGGGGGCAGCGCAGAGCCAGGCUUUGGGUCUGGUCUCCCGCUGCCGCCAGGAGGCGCGGGGCCGGAGGCUCCUUCCCCUUCGGUGACCCUGGCGGACAUCUAUCGGGAGCUCUACGCCUUCUUCGGUGACAGCUUGGCCACCCGCUUUGGCACGGGUCAGCCCGCGCCCACGGCCCCGCGGCCGCCUGGGGACAAGAAAGAGCCGGCGGCCGCCCCGGACUCGGUGCGGAAGAUGCCGCAGCUGACCGCCAACGCCAUGGUCAGCCCGCAGGGCGACGAGAGCCCCCGGGGCGGAGGCCCCCCGUCGGCCUCUGCCCCCACCGCCUCUGAGAGCAGGCCGCUGCCGCGCGUGCACCGGGCGCGGGGGGCGCCCCGGCAGCAGGGCCCGGGCGCCGGCACCCGCGACGUCUUUCAGAAGAGCCGUUUCGCCCCGCGCGGUGCCCCUCACUUCCGUUUCAUCAUCGCCGGGCGGCAAGCAGGGAGGCGAUGCCGCGGGCGCCUCUUCCAGACUGCCUUCCCCGCGCCGUACGGGCCCAGCCCGGCCUCCCGUUACGUGCAGAAGCUGCCCAUGAUCGGCCGCACCGGCCGCCCGGCCCGCCGCUGGGCGCUCUCGGACUACUCGCUGUACCUGCCGCUUUGAGGCGGCGCUGGCCUCUGUGAAUAAAUCCAGCGCCCGGAAGUGACGUCUCCGCGCUCGUGGGUCGCGCCGGAUGAGGCGGGGCUUGGGCGGUUGGCUCCCACGGCGGCGCUUCCUGGUGGCGAGGGAGCCAUGGCUCUCCCUUGGUUGCAGCGCGUCGAGCUCGUGUUCUUUGCUACCGCCUUCGUGUGCGGAGCCGUGGCGGCCGCGGCACUGACUCGGACCCAGCAGCUGCAUCGAGGAUUCCCACAGAGGCCCGAUAGGGCUCCGCAUUGCACUGGCCAUCUCAGCUAUAGCCAUCUUCCUGGUCUUAGUGUCUGCCUGCAUCCUUCGAUUUGGCACCAGUUCCCUCUGCAAAUCCAUCAUCUCCCUGAACAUAACUAGCUGCUCUGAUGCCCAGAAAACUCCAUGGAUACCCCCUGGAACCGCUCUGCAGUUUUACUCCAACCUACACAAUGCUGAACCUGUAGCAUCACUGAGCGCACAGAGCGGAAGGAAAAGAGAAGACCAGCACCAAGUACCAGAGUACCUGCAGGAAGAGCAAAGAUUGGGGUUUUCCCUGGAGAGCUAAGAAGCAACCCUUACCGUGUGCCCCCAAAUAAUAAAAAAAAAAAAUUGU